UACGUAGGGGGCAAGCGUUGUCCGGAAUCAUUGGGCGUAAAGCGCGUGUAGGCGGCCAGGUAAGUCCGUUCUGAAAGCCCGGGGCUCAACCCCGGGAGGCGGAUGGAUACUGCUUGGCUCGAGUCCGGAAGAGGCGAGUGGAAUUCCCGGUGUAGCGGUGAAAUGCGCAGAUAUCGGGAGGAACACCAAUGGCGAAGGCAGCUCGCUGGGACGGUACUGACGCUGAGACGCGAAAGCGUGGGGAGCGAACAGG
RNAcentral lists this ribosomal RNA (253 nucleotides) under uncultured bacterium. RNAcentral describes it as "partial 16S ribosomal RNA". It matches the Rfam family "Bacterial small subunit ribosomal RNA", at positions 524 to 776 of the family's 1533-position model. The record is from RNAcentral.